CAUUGGCCUGUCUGAAGCACCUGACAUAGCUCACUUUUCUUUAUGAAGCAUUCCUCUCGGCUUCUGGCACCAUAGUCCUGCCUUCUCACUGAGGGCUCUCCAGGCUGGGUGAAUUUCUUCCUCUCCUGCUGGCCCUAAACUGAGCACCUCUGAGGUUAAACCUGACCUGUGUUACUUUCUACCUCUCUAGGGGACGACUGCACCCAUUCCAUAGCUUAAUUACACCUAUGUCUCUUGCCCUGUUCAUAGGCACAGUAGGUUAUUAGCUCCAGGAGAGACAAUCUGGCUGUAAAAGCCUCCAAACAUAUCAGCCUACAGCAGACUCAACAAAUGACAUUGUGUGGACCAGUGGGUGGGCAAAUGAAUGUGUGAAGGAACCCUGCCAUGGCUUUGUUUGCUCACAUGGCCUCCCACCCUCUCUCAUGAGCUUACUGUGUCUGCUCCUUGGCUUCCAGACUGGUCCAGCCCAUCAUUCCAGCAGCUCUCGGGAGUAACCCAGACCUGUGUCACCAGAUCCCUGGGAAUGGUAUGGAGGGUGAGAGGGUGUCUGCCAGGGGAUAGCAGCUCCGGGUGGCAUUUGAAGCUUCAUCAGGCCAAACCCUGUGUUCUCUGUGGAGGAGCCAUAGUUGGGGCUGCUUCUGUGUGGGCUCCGUGGGGCUGCUUGGGCCAGAGUUGCUCUUUGAUCUCUUAGAGAAUGGCAGCAGCUCACAUUCAGCUGUGCCUUUGCCUGUGGCUUCCUACCAGUCGGACAGUUUUCCUUUCCCCUGUGUGAAGGUGAC
RNAcentral lists this long non-coding RNA (779 nucleotides) under Rattus norvegicus (Norway rat). Its description in RNAcentral is "long non-coding RNA NONRATT005835". The record is from RNAcentral. Lineage: Eukaryota; Metazoa; Chordata; Mammalia; Rodentia; Muridae.